This is a non-coding RNA of Acanthosepion pharaonis, 113 nucleotides long. Lineage: Eukaryota; Metazoa; Mollusca; Cephalopoda; Sepiida; Sepiidae. The record is from the annotation of a GenBank genome assembly.
UUACGGCCAUAUCCCGUUGAAACCCCUGUCCCCAUACAAUCACUGAAGUUAAGCAACGUCGAGCCUCGUCAGUACAUAGAUAGGUGACAGCUUGGCAAUACCAGGUGCUAUAA